RNAcentral lists this ribosomal RNA (440 nucleotides) under uncultured bacterium. Its description in RNAcentral is "partial 16S ribosomal RNA". It matches the Rfam family "Bacterial small subunit ribosomal RNA", at positions 338 to 795 of the family's 1533-position model. The record is from RNAcentral.
CCUACGGGAGGCAGCAGUGGGGGAUAUUGCACAAUGGGGGAAACCCUGAUGCAGCGACGCCGCGUGUAGGAAGACGGUCCUCUGGAUUGUAAACCACUUUCCCCAGGGACGAAGAUGACGGUACCUGGGGAGUAAGCUCCGGCUAACUACUUGCCAGCAGCCGCGGUAAUACGUAGGGAGCGAGCGUUGUCCGGAAUUACUGGGUGUAUAGGGAGCGUAGGCGGGACUGCAAGUAGUGUGUAAAAUCUACCGGCUCAACCGGUAGCCGCACUCAAAACUGCAGUUCUUGAGUGAAGUAGAGGCAGGCGGAAUUCGUAGUGUAGCGGUGAAAUGCGUAGAUAUUAGGAGGAACACCAGUUGCGAAGGCGGCUUGCUGGGCUUUUACUGACGCUGAGGCUCGAAAGUGUGGGGAGCAAACAGGAUUAGAUACCCUGGUAGUC